Molecule: non-coding RNA, 73 nt
Organism: Stegodyphus mimosarum
Lineage: Eukaryota; Metazoa; Arthropoda; Arachnida; Araneae; Eresidae
Source: Rfam
GCCUUCGUGGUGUAGUGGUCUGCAUGCUUGACGUGUAACCGAGAGGUCCGUGGUUCGAUUCCCGGCGAAGGCG